AAGACAGAAACAUGGGGGCAGAAAUUUACUUAAAGAAAUAAUAGAUGAAAACUUCCCAAAUCUGGGAAGGGAAACAUAUAUCCAGAUUCAGAAGGCA
Long non-coding RNA from Mustela erminea (ermine), 97 nucleotides. RefSeq lists it as uncharacterized. The transcript is spliced from 3 exons. Lineage: Eukaryota; Metazoa; Chordata; Mammalia; Carnivora; Mustelidae. The record is from RefSeq and is a predicted model, not a curated record.